This 484-nucleotide ribosomal RNA is filed under the name uncultured bacterium. RNAcentral describes it as "partial 16S ribosomal RNA". It matches the Rfam family "Bacterial small subunit ribosomal RNA", at positions 30 to 507 of the family's 1533-position model. The record is from RNAcentral.
AUUGAACGCUGGCGGCAGGCCUAACACAUGCAAGUCGAGCGGAUGAAGGGAGCUUGCUCCUGGAUUCAGCGGAGGACGGGUGAGUAAUGCCUAGGAAUCUGCCUGGUAGUGGGGGAUAACGUCCGGAAACGGGCGCUAAUACUGCAUACGUUCUGAGGGAGAAAGUGGGGGAUCUUCGGACCUCACGCUAUCAGAUGAGCCUAGGUCGGAUUAGCUAGUUGGUGGGGUAAAGGCCUACCAAGGCGACGAUCCGUAACUGGUCUGAGAGGAUGAUCAGUCACACUGGAACUGAGACACGGUCCAGACUCCUACGGGAGGCAGCAGUGGGGAAUAUUGGACAAUGGGCGAAAGCCUGAUCCAGCCAUGCCGCGUGUGUGAAGAAGGUCUUCGGAUUGUAAAGCACUUUAAGUUGGGAGGAAGGGCAGUAAGUUAAUACCUUGCUGUUUUGACGUUACCAACAGAAUAAGCACCGGCUAACUUCGUG